AGUCUUACCUGACAGAGAUACCUCCGUGAUCAGGAAGGUGGAUCGUCUAAAAGAGGAGCAGCCAUUGCAUUUUGGCUGUCUGACCUUUAUGAAUUCUCCACAUAUGGAAAUCUCAACUGCGGAAUGUAUGGUCGUGGGGACUGCGUUCGUGCUUUUCCUG
This is a small nuclear RNA of Cyprinus carpio carpio, 160 nucleotides long. Its record names the gene U1. It matches the Rfam family "U1 spliceosomal RNA". From Rfam's summary of the family: U1 is a small nuclear RNA (snRNA) component of the spliceosome (involved in pre-mRNA splicing). Its 5' end forms complementary base pairs with the 5' splice junction, thus defining the 5' donor site of an intron. There are significant differences in sequence and secondary structure between metazoan and yeast U1 snRNAs, the latter being much longer (568 nucleotides as compared to 164 nucleotides in human). The record is from Ensembl. Lineage: Eukaryota; Metazoa; Chordata; Actinopteri; Cypriniformes; Cyprinidae.